RNAcentral lists this ribosomal RNA (377 nucleotides) under uncultured bacterium. Its description in RNAcentral is "bacterial SSU rRNA". It matches the Rfam family "Bacterial small subunit ribosomal RNA", at positions 521 to 896 of the family's 1533-position model. The record is from RNAcentral.
UAAUACGUAGGGUGCAAGCGUUGCUCGGAAUCAUUGGGCGUAAAGAGCGUGUAGGUGGCUAGAUAAGUCGGAUGUGAAAUCCCUCGGCUCAACCGAGGAAGUGCAUUCGAAACUAUCUAGCUCGAGGAUGGCAGAGGAAGGUGGAAUUCCUAGUGUAGAGGUGAAAUUCGUAGAUAUUAGGAGGAAUACCGGUGGCGAAGGCGGCCUUCUGGACCAUUCCUGACACUGAGACGCGAAAGCGUGGGUAGCAAACAGGAUUAGAUACCCUGGUAGUCCACGCUGUAAACGAUGGGUACUAGAUGUUGUGGGAAUUGACCCCCGCAGUGUCGUAGCUAACGCGUUAAGUACCCCGCCUGGGAAGUACGGCCGCAAGGUUA